GAUGAACUUACGCAUGAGACAAGCUGUAAUCAUAUCAUUGCCCUCUAAACGGGCAAGAGAAAAUUCCACCCACUAAAUUAAUCAUCUCUUUCUUAGCCUAUUGUUAUUGCUAUUACUGACCAGUUCUGACCUUCCCUGCGCUCUCUCUCUCUCUCUGCCUCUGCGCUAGCUAAAGAACUACAUGCUCUCUGCCAAAAGGGAAAGAAAAGAGAAAGGAAAGGAAU
RNAcentral lists this unclassified non-coding RNA (224 nucleotides) under Hevea brasiliensis (rubber tree). The record is from RNAcentral. Lineage: Eukaryota; Viridiplantae; Streptophyta; Magnoliopsida; Malpighiales; Euphorbiaceae.